CUGUACGUUAGUAACCGUUAUGCUCCUCUGCCAAUAGCUAGCUAACGUUAACGUCCGUUAACGUUUACCGUUAUUAUCGUUAUGCUCAUCUGCCGCUAGCUAGACGGUAACGUUAACCUCUAUUAACGUUUAAUGUUACCGUUUAUAACGUUAUGCUUCUCUGCCGCAAGAUAACGUUACACGGCACGUUAAGGUCUCUUAACUUUAAACCUCUUUGCGUCUAAUGUUCGAGGCUGGCUGGCUUGACCGAAGUUUCGGAGUCUUUGAUAUGUUAACUUGCCCGUAUCGUCGUGAUUUAAGUCAUCUCUUGUUAAUUUUUUUUUCAGUUUGUUGUCUGUUGGUGUAACAUAACUUUUUGCGACGUCUGUGCCUUCUCCUGGAGUCUUUUCUGGCUGUUGGACGGAUGGACGGUGAAAGCUUUGGUGAAACGUUACGGUGGUUUAACAUCAAACGGCCAUGAAGACCAUACAUCUUACCAGCUUGACAACUCUCCAGCUGACUCUUCAUCUUAAGGGCUACAAAGCCAUGUCACUAUUUACAUCUGACUGGGUGAGAUCGUAUGAAGUCUGGUGGGAGAAAAUGCCACUAAAUUUGCGACAAUGUGUCGCACAAGGCCAGUGACCCAUGAAGCAGGAGCAUUUAUCUAUGAUGAGAACGAUUAUGGACUCGAUCCGAGAUUAAUGCUUGAACCCUACUAGAAGCCACUGUUUGCUGUCACAUAUGCUUGUAAGAGCUAUGCCAUCACCAACCCCCACACAGCAAUGAUAAACUCAAAGAACAGUGGCUAUUUCUUCACAUGAAAAGAUUUCUGUGAUCACUUGAAAACACUGACUGGGAUGGAUGUUAACACCAGAAGGAAAGAAGAUUGAACCCUUUUUUGAAUGCGACGAUUUUUAUAUAUAGCGUAAAAUAACUAAUCACAAUAUGGAAUGUUGUAAGAUUUUCUUCAGACAAGAAUCCCAAGUGAAUGAAUCCAACGGACUUUGGUGUGUGAAGUGACAUGACAUGUCUCAACUAUUGGAUUGAUUUCUAGAAAAUGUUAUGUUUUGCAGGCAUUGGGUCAUAAACCAAAUCCCUUUCAAUCUCAGCUCACUUAAUUGAUCUGUGCUUGCUGUACCAUCCUGCAGGUACCUUCUGUGGUCUUUAUCCUGCCAUCACUCUUCACAUGAACACAGGCAUAUGGUGUGAACACUUGGCUCUUAUUGUCAGCCAUAUGGUAUGAAAAGUUAUUAAAAAGAAGACUGCGCUGGGAAGCUCUUUGAAGAUUGUAUUUCCUGUAGAGCUUCCCCUGCAUGUCAGAGGAAUGAAAGCAGAGGAAAGAGAAGGAAACAUAUUUUAUAAUAAGAGAUGACUUGUCCCAAGCGAUGUAGAGAGCGGAGCAGUUGCAGAUGGCUUGUUUCAGGAAACCACGGGCCCAAAAGGGAUCCCUCUCUGCUGUGCAUUUAGUAUACAAACUACAAAGGCAGGCUGCGGUCAGCACACCCUUGUGAAAGGGGCUAAAAUAGUGUCAGCAGGAUGUCCAACAGACUGCAGGCAAACAGAAGAGAGAGCAGAAACGGACACGUGAAGGAGAGGGGAGCACACCGUGUGACCUACAGAGUCAACGUCUUUGAUAAUGAAUGGGAAUCACAGAAAAAUAAAUAUUUAAUCUUACUGACAAGUUCCCAUAACUGAACUGUAAUUGAUGAUGGAUGUAGGUAUUCAAAGCCAUUUCAGAUGCAAAUACACUUCACCAGUUUUGACUGUUCGCUGUGAGCAGCGAUUGUCCAAUCAUAGCUAAGCAACUGUAAACCAUACCAAGCUUUAAACUACUCAAUAUUCCUAAACAAAGUUUUUGGGUUUCUACUAAGAGCGAUAUUCAGUAGGCUAUACAAAGAGUUUGGAUGGCUGUGUCUUUUCUUAGCUUUUCCAAAACCACCAAACGCAAAAACAAAAGUGUUAGGAAUGGAUUGAAGAGUCUCUGCUCUACUGUAAGUAGUUAACAUUAGCAUGCCUCAUACUCACCUAGCAUUACUUCCAAGGCCAAGAGUUAACAUAUAGCAUUAUUUUAUGGGGUUACAGGUUAUUUUACAAAAAGCUGUGUUCAGCCCUGCAUGCUACUGUAUCAGAGCUUAGGCUAAUGGUAGCAGCUCUCUAGCGUCAGCUGGAAACAUUACAAAAGUUAGUUUUCAACCAAUUUAAUGUUUAGCCAACCGUCCCGUCCAGUUGUUGCUGUCUCUAAGCCAGACAUUGUGAAAGCCCAGCUGUGCAUAAGUUGACCUUGCCAUUGAUUAGAAGCCAGCCCACAUUUGAACACCAUUAGUUGAUUGUGGUAUGUUUCGUUGCCGUCAAAACCUUGAUUAUCAUACAUUCAGAUUACUUAUGAAAAUGGUUAUUCGUUUACUGACUAAUGUAAAAAACAGAGCCCUGCACCUCCUACACAGGCAGCAAAGCAACAUUCUGCCUCUCCUAACUUGGUAGAAUCACAUGCUGUCUUAAACUUUUAGAAUUGUUUUUGUGUCA
Long non-coding RNA from Micropterus dolomieu (smallmouth bass), 2502 nucleotides. RefSeq lists it as uncharacterized. The transcript has 5 exons. The record is from RefSeq and is a predicted model, not a curated record. NCBI's taxonomy places the organism in Eukaryota, Metazoa, Chordata, Actinopteri, Centrarchiformes, Centrarchidae.